GACGAACGCUGGCGGCGCGCUUAACACAUGCAAGUCGAGCGAGAACCAGGCCUUCGGGCCUGGGGAAGCGGCGAACGGGUGAGUAACACGUGGGUAACCCACCCUUGGUACCGGGAUAGCCCGAGGAAACUCGGAUUAAUACCGGAUGGCCCAACAGCUUUUCGGAGCGGUUGGAAAAGGUAGCUUCGGCCUCCGACCAAGGACGGGCCCGCGGCGGAUUAGCUUGUUGGUGAGGUAACGGCUCACCAAGGCGACGAUCCGUAGCUGGUCUGAGAGGACGAUCAGCCACACUGGGACUGAGACACGGCCCAGACUCCUACGGGAGGCAGCAGUGGGGAAUAUUGCACAAUGGGCGAAAGCCUGAUGCAGCGACGCCGCGUGAGGGAUGACGGCC
This 394-nucleotide ribosomal RNA is filed under the name uncultured bacterium. Its description in RNAcentral is "bacterial SSU rRNA". It matches the Rfam family "Bacterial small subunit ribosomal RNA", at positions 28 to 416 of the family's 1533-position model. The record is from RNAcentral.